GACGAACGCUGGCGGCGUGCUUAACACAUGCAAGUCGAACGGAAAGGCCCUGCUUUUGUGGGGUGCUCGAGUGGCGAACGGGUGAGUAACACGUGAGUAACCUGCCCUUGACUUUGGGAUAACUUCAGGAAACUGGGGCUAAUACCGGAUAGGAGCUCCUGCUGCAUGGUGGGGGUUGGAAAGUUUCGGCGGUUGGGGAUGGACUCGCGGCUUAUCAGCUUGUUGGUGGGGUAGUGGCUUACCAAGGCUUUGACGGGUAGCCGGCCUGAGAGGGUGACCGGACACUGUGGGAGGGUGGUACGGACCGGGGUCGGGCGGGGGGCCGCGGGGGGGAUGAUCGCACGCGGGGAGGACGAGGGGAGAGGCAGGGCGGGGUGGGGGAGGCGGGGCGGGGGGUUGUACGCCGCUGGCCCGUGGGACGAGGGGUGGGUGACGGGAGUGGGAAAAGAAGCGCCGGCUAACCAGGUGCCAGGAGACGGGGUAAAAAGGGAAAGCGCAGAGGUCUGACU
This 509-nucleotide ribosomal RNA is filed under the name uncultured bacterium. Its description in RNAcentral is "partial 16S ribosomal RNA". The stretch from base 20 to 332 matches the Rfam family "Bacterial small subunit ribosomal RNA", at positions 47 to 358 of the family's 1533-position model. The record is from RNAcentral.